This 29-nucleotide non-coding RNA is filed under the name Mus musculus (house mouse). Lineage: Eukaryota; Metazoa; Chordata; Mammalia; Rodentia; Muridae. The record is from RNAcentral.
UGUAAGGUUUCCCCAAACAAAAGAUGUGA